AAUAUUGGACAAUGGGCGAAAGCCUGAUCCAGCCAUGCCGCGUGUGUGAAGAAGGUCUUCGGAUUGUAAAGCACUUUAAGUUGGGAGGAAGGGCAGUAAGUUAAUACCUUGCUGUUUUGACGUUACCGACAGAAUAAGCACCGGCUAACUUCGUGCCAGCAGCCGCGGUAAUACGAAGAGUGCAAGCGUUAAUCGGAAUUACUGGGCAUAAAGCUCACGUAGGUGGUUGAUUAAGUUGAAAGUGAAAGCCCCGGGCUAAACCUGGGAAUUGCUUUCAAAAUUGACGAGCUAGAGUCCGGUAGAGGGGAGGGGAAUUUCCUGUGUAGCGGUAAAAGGCGUAAAUAUAGGAAGGAACAUCAGUGGCGAAGGCGACUACCUGGACUGAUACUGACACUGAGGUGCGAAAGCGUGGGGAGCAAACAGG
RNAcentral lists this ribosomal RNA (424 nucleotides) under uncultured bacterium. RNAcentral describes it as "partial 16S ribosomal RNA". It matches the Rfam family "Bacterial small subunit ribosomal RNA", at positions 360 to 776 of the family's 1533-position model. The record is from RNAcentral.